GAUGAACGCUGGCGGCGUGCCUAAUACAUGCAAGUCGUACGGAAAGGCCCUUCGGGGUACUCGAGUGGCGGACGGCUGAGUAACGCGUGGGAACGUGCCCCAAAGUGAGGGAUAACGCACCGAAAGGUGUGCUAAUACCCCAUAUGGUCUUCGGAUUAAAGCUUCGGCGCUUUGGGAGCGGCCCGCGUACGAUUAGAUAGUUGGUGAGGUAAUGGCUCACCAAGUCGACGAUCGUUAGCUGGUCUGAGAGGAUGAUCAGCCAGACUGGGACUGAGACACGGCCCAGACUCCUACGGGAGGCAGCAGUAAGGAAUCUUCCACAAUGGGGGCAACCCUGAUAGAGCAACGCCGCGUGCAGGAUGAAGGUUUUCGGAUCGUAAACUGCUUUUAUAAGUGAAGAAUAUGACGGUAACUUAUGAAUAAGGAUCGGCUAACUACGUGCCAGCAGCCGCCGUAA
This 457-nucleotide ribosomal RNA is filed under the name uncultured bacterium. RNAcentral describes it as "partial 16S ribosomal RNA". It matches the Rfam family "Bacterial small subunit ribosomal RNA", at positions 28 to 523 of the family's 1533-position model. The record is from RNAcentral.